Molecule: long non-coding RNA, 548 nt
Organism: Rana temporaria (common frog)
Lineage: Eukaryota; Metazoa; Chordata; Amphibia; Anura; Ranidae
Exons: 4
Source: RefSeq, a predicted model, not a curated record
GUGUUUGCCUUUUUCAUGGCUCUGAGAUAUCAGAGUCUCCAGGCUGUUUGUGCCUUACCACUUCUCUGGCACUUUACCUCAACGUUUUCAAACAGCAACCAGCUUUGCUUUGAGAUUUUUGUCUACCAUUGACCAGUGCAUAUUGGUUUGUUUAACCCCUGUUUUGCUGGACGCAGUUUCGCCAGCCUCAUUGGAUCCGAUCCAACUGCCUAGUGAAGUACUGUGAAUACCUCAUUCGGACUGCCUGGUGGAUGCGGUUUUUGGGAUGCAUGCGGAAGGAGGCACUCAAUACUGUGGAAUUUUCUUUCACAGUUUUACUUAAUGGUACACGGCUGAUUUUAAUGCAAUUGGAUGAUCUUGGACUUUGGAUAAAAGCUUGUUGUAUUGCCCUUGAUGAAGCUCAACGAGCGAAACAUGUCGGGCCCCUUCCAACAGGUUCCUCUGCGACUUUUUAGUCGCUAUUACCAUCAAUGAGACCAUCCAUGUCUUGUCUUGUAUUUUGUUAUAUGUAAAAUUUAUGUAUGAAUAAAUUAUUAUUUUUGUAUUUA